GACAUCUCUCAAAACUUAGGAAAACUACAGUGGCAACCUGAGGAUAUAGGGCUCGAUCGAGGUAAUUGAAUUAUGUAAUUCAAUUUGAGAAAAAUAGUUCUAAAUUUGUGUCUGCAGUGUGAUGCAGUGUGAAGUCUGCGUAUGUGUUUGUUGGCUAUGUGUAUGUUGGUAGGUUUGUAUGUGUGUUGUUGUGUGUCUUUAUGAGAAUAUAAACUAUAUAUAUAGGCCUCGUUUGGUUGGGGAGAUUAGUCAUGAUUAACAAAAUAAUUGGACUUUAUUUGAUGUUUGGUAUUUUCAAUAACUUGUCGGGUCGACCCGCAAAUAUUAUUUUAUCAUGCCUUAUCUUGCUUUUUAGACAUGUUUGUUUAUUGAAUCUUCCAAAGUCCAAUAAUACAAUUAAGUUUCAUUAGAUUAUUUAAUUUUAUCUUGGCUGAUCUUAUCUUCCCUACCAAACAAGGCAAUAGUAUAUUACGUAUAUAUAUGUGCAGAACAUACAUCGAUCUAUAUGUAUGGUUGGUACAUAUACGUAUGCAUUGCAUAAUUAUGUUAUGUGUGCAUGUGUAAUGUUUUAUUAGAUUUAUACAUAUAUAUUUGUAUUUAAUAUAUUAUGUGUGUGAGGAGUAUAUGCUGGUUAUGUGUAUGUAUAUCGGUAGGUGAUACUGUGUGUGUGUGUGCAUAUUCAAAUUUGAAGCAAAAUUUGUUGUUUGUUUAACUCUUUUUCUUUCCCGCAGAUCUUAUUGUUUGAACUAUUAUGUAGUAAGUUUUUUGCGGAGUCGACAUUGUGUUCUUCGUUCAAAAUAAGCCGUUCUUGUGUUGCAGAUCUAAGCUUGUAGUAGCUCGUGUUUCAUUAUCGAGAAUGAAUGGUUUGAAAUUAGAGGAUCAAAUGGAUGUGUUUUCUCAUUUGUGUUCUAUCUUUUUGAGCAAUCGAGCCGAUGGAAAAAUAUUUGUGAUCGGUGAGUCAUAUAUACGUAGUCAUAUAUAGUCAGAUGUGGUCAUAUACACGUAGUCAUAUAUAGUCACAUGUGGUCAUAUACAUGUAGUCAUAUAUAGUCAUGUGUAGUAAUAUGUAGUAAUAAUGUAAUAUAUAGUUAUGUGUUUUUUCCUGAUGUAUAGUGAUGUUGAUGAUUGUGUUUUUCCAAUUUCAUGUUGGGUACUAAUAGAUUUAAAUUGUGAAUUUUGUUGUUGGUG
Molecule: long non-coding RNA, 1188 nt
Filed under: Erythranthe guttata (spotted monkey flower)
Lineage: Eukaryota; Viridiplantae; Streptophyta; Magnoliopsida; Lamiales; Phrymaceae
Description: long non-coding RNA (EGUT_LNC001960)
Source: RNAcentral